Molecule: ribosomal RNA, 256 nt
Filed under: uncultured bacterium
Lineage: Bacteria
Description: partial 16S ribosomal RNA
Rfam family: Bacterial small subunit ribosomal RNA
Source: RNAcentral
UAACGCGUGGAGAACCUGCCGUAUACUGGGGGAUAACACUUAGAAAUAGGUGCUAAUACCGCAUAAGCGCACAGCUUCGCAUGAAGCAGUGUGGAAAACAAAAGCUAAAGCUUUUGGUGGUAUACGAUGGAUCCGCGUCUGAUUAGCUGGUUGGCGGGGUAAAGGCCCACCAAGGCGACGAUCAGUAGCCGGCCUGAGAGGGUGAACGGCCACAUUGGGACUGAGACACGGCCCAAACUCCUACGGGAGGCAGCAG